RNAcentral lists this transfer RNA (75 nucleotides) under bacterium. Its description in RNAcentral is "tRNA-Glu". It matches the Rfam family "tRNA". From Rfam's summary of the family: Transfer RNA (tRNA) molecules are approximately 80 nucleotides in length. Their secondary structure includes four short double-helical elements and three loops (D, anti-codon, and T loops). The record is from RNAcentral. RNAcentral also lists the same sequence under 2 other names.
GGCCCCAUCGUCUAGUGGUUAGGACACAGGCCUCUCAAGCCUGGAACAGGGGUUCAAAUCCCCUUGGGGUCACCA